Pangasianodon gigas (Mekong giant catfish) is the source of this 71-nucleotide non-coding RNA. The record is from the annotation of a GenBank genome assembly. Lineage: Eukaryota; Metazoa; Chordata; Actinopteri; Siluriformes; Pangasiidae.
GAAUUGAUAACAAAAUGCUGAAAAGUCAAAAUCUUGAGAAAUCAAAGUGCAGUACAGUAGUAUUCAUUGUG